AGGACGAACGCUGGCGGCGUGCUUAACACAUGCAAGUCGAACGGAAAGGCCCUUUCGGGGGUACUCGAGUGGCGAACGGGUGAGUAACACGUGGGUGAUCUGCCCUGCACUUUGGGAUAAGCCUGGGAAACUGGGUCUAAUACCGAAUACACCUUGCUGGCUGCAUGGCCUGGUGGGGGAAAGCUUUUGCGGUGUGGGAUGGGCCCGCGGCCUAUCAGCUUGUUGGUGGGGUGAUGGCCUACCAAGGCGACGACGGGUAGCCGGCCUGAGAGGGUGUCCGGCCACACUGGGACUGAGAUACGGCCCAGACUCCUACGGGAGGCAGCAGUGGGGAAUAUUGCACAAUGGGCGCAAGCCUGAUGCAGCGACGCCGCGUGAGGGAUGACGGCCUUCGGGUUGUAAACCUCUUUCAGUAUCGACGAAGCGCAAGUGACGGUAGGUACAGAAGAAGCACCGGCCAACUACGCGCCAGCAGCCGCGGU
Molecule: ribosomal RNA, 482 nt
Filed under: uncultured bacterium
Lineage: Bacteria
Description: SSU rRNA
Rfam family: Bacterial small subunit ribosomal RNA
Source: RNAcentral